Molecule: non-coding RNA, 71 nt
Organism: Parelaphostrongylus tenuis
Lineage: Eukaryota; Metazoa; Nematoda; Chromadorea; Rhabditida; Metastrongylidae
Source: the annotation of a GenBank genome assembly
GCCCCAGUGGUGUAAUGGUAACACGCCCUGCUGGGAUGGGUGAAACGCGGGUUCAACUCCCAACUGAGGUC